Triticum aestivum (bread wheat) is the source of this 131-nucleotide non-coding RNA. Lineage: Eukaryota; Viridiplantae; Streptophyta; Magnoliopsida; Poales; Poaceae. The record is from Rfam.
CAAAUACUCCAUCCAGAAAUACUUGUCAUCAAAAUGGAUAAAAGGAAAUGUAUCUAGACGUAUUUUAAUUUUAGAUACAUCUCUUUUUAUCCAUUUUGAUGACAAGUAUUUUCGGACGGAGGGAGUAUUUA